RNAcentral lists this long non-coding RNA (1118 nucleotides) under Numida meleagris (helmeted guineafowl). RNAcentral's name for it is "lncRNA (ENSNMEG00000000422.1)". The record is from RNAcentral. Lineage: Eukaryota; Metazoa; Chordata; Aves; Galliformes; Numididae.
GGGGCUGCGUGCUGGGCGACAAGGAUCCCAUAGCUCCACGCGGUGCUCGCAGCCCGAGUAACUCCAGAACAAACAGCGUUUUCCUGCAUGUGGUGCUCAGUCCGUAAGAUCCCGAAGAACCUCUGGCAGCAGAUCCGUGCCCCGGGGACGAAGGCAGAGGCAGGGCAGGGGACUUGGCCCCAGCUCCCCAGCCUCCCACCACAGCCCCUUGCAGUGCCAUCUGAGCUAUUUUUCCAACUCGAGCCAGGCUGCCUCAUCAUGUCCUCGGUAUGAAAAAAUUUGUGAAGAGGGGCAACGUUUGAUCCCUAAAAGCUUUCAGAAGUGUUAAUUCCAUGUCUGGAAUAUUGUCACGGAGCGGCCAAAUUCCAGCACGUAGAAAUGCACAGGCUGUGCCCAGGGGGUGAAUGCAGCCAGCUCAAAGCCCUGCCAUGUGGAGAAGGGCAUUGCUUGCUAGGCUUUGUGUUUGGGCUUUUAUGAUGCUUUUAAAAUGAGAAGCUCUUAUCGUGGUUCAUUUGCUUCCAUGCUUGUGGUUUUGCCACUUGGGGGCAAUUAUAGGAUCCUGUGAUGCAUGCAGAAGUUUAGAUGGUGAAUGAUGUGGCUAUUUUUUGGUGGACUUGUGUUGGCAUUGAGCUGGAAGAUGUCAGCGCACUCUGGUCCAACCAAGCUGAGGAUUAUCUGUGCAUGGCCACACAGCAUCUUCUGUUGGUGACACUCCUUGACUGUUUGGAAAGGAAACGCUGAUAGAAGUUUAAACACAAGCUGUUCAUGAUUUUGCUUUCUGUAAUAAAGCAAAGCUCUUAAUUAAGAUCCACUACGCUUUUUUUUUUUUUCCCAGUGCAUUUUAAAUGUAUUAUUUGCUUUGAGUUUCCAGAAUGUCAUUUUGGUUCUUUUUUUGUCCCACCAGCAUUGAUCUCAUUUGGAGAUUUGUCAACAUCACACAAACAGCACCAGGAAAAGCCACAAGAUACUGCAUAGAGCCCAGAACAACUGACAGUGGGAGGACUUCUUUCCAGGAGAUACAUUUUUCACUGGUUUAUCAGCCUCUGCUUUUACGGAUCUCUGGGGAUAUAAGAACAAGUUCAGCUCGCAUCAUCCUUCUCCGUUUGGCUGACAUGUAA